AACGAACGCUGGCGGCGUGCCUAAGCCAUGCAAGUCGAACGGGUUGUCGCAAGACAAUCAGUGGCGAACUGGUGAGUAAUACGUGGGUAAUCUGCCCGAGAAUGGGGAAUAGCCCUUCCAACGAGGGGGUAACACCGCAUAUUAUCGCGAACCCGCAUGAGUUUGCGAUGAAAACAGGGGAUCGUAAGACCUUGUGUUCUCGGAUGAACCCGCGCCCCAUUAGCUAGUUGGUGAGGUAACAGCUCACCAAGGCGACGAUGGGUAGCCGGCCUGAGAGGGUGAUCGGCCACACUGGGACUGAGAUACGGCCCAGACUCCUACGGGAGGCAGCAGGCGGGAAUAUUGGGCAAUGGACGAAAGUCUGACCCAGCGACGCCGCGUGAGGGAUGAAGCUUCUCGGAGCGUAAACCUCAAACGGAUAGGGACGAAAAGCUUAUCGGCUAAUAUCCGGUAGGCCUGACGGUACCUGUUACGAAGCUCCGGCUAACUCCGUGCCAGCAGCCGCGGUAAA
This 511-nucleotide ribosomal RNA is filed under the name uncultured bacterium. RNAcentral describes it as "bacterial SSU rRNA". It matches the Rfam family "Bacterial small subunit ribosomal RNA", at positions 29 to 524 of the family's 1533-position model. The record is from RNAcentral.